AUGCCUAUCCAUUCCGUCCACCCGUCGAUUGAUCCGCCGGAGUCGGUUCAUAUUAUUUUUCUCGAAGAUCAUCGUCAAUGGAGUCCCGGGCCAUUAGUCCCAGUAAGACAGCGCUGCCGCACGCGUAUGCGCUGCUGGCCCCGUCCGAGGCCAUGGAGGAGCGCCGGAGCGGGGCCGGGGCGAGGUGCGCCCGUGCAUGGUGGUGCUGGUGGAGUGGUGGUGGGCGGCGAUGUGGUGGAGGACAUGUCGUGGCUGGCAGAGACGGCGGGGUGUCUAGGCAGGGAAGCCGGCGUGUCGGAGAAGACCUGCAGGGCGGUGGAUGAGAUGGGGUUCCUCGCCGCCGGCGCUGACGCUGACGGGAUCCCCUGGAGCAAAGCCAUGCUCCAGUGGCAACACACCGGCUUCCAUUUCCAGCCCGAGAAAAACUGGAUGAAUGGUGCACAUAAGUGA
This 450-nucleotide ribosomal RNA is filed under the name Triticum aestivum (bread wheat). RNAcentral describes it as "partial small subunit ribosomal RNA". The record is from RNAcentral. Lineage: Eukaryota; Viridiplantae; Streptophyta; Magnoliopsida; Poales; Poaceae.